AUAACGGUGUCGGCUCCUUGUGAGCUGAUAACCGGAAUGAGAACAAUUUAAACCCCUUAUCGAUUAUCCAUUGGAGGGCAAGUCUGGUGCCAGCAGCCGCGGUAACACCAGCUCCAAUAGCGUAUAUUAAAGUUGUUGCAGUUAAAAAGCUCGUAGUUGGAUUUCUGCUUUGAGCGACCCUCGGAUUGUGGGUUAAUUCUCGCUUCUAUAGGUGUUGCUCGAGCUUCCUUCGUGGAGAACAUUUAGGUUCUUAAUUGAAUUCUAUUUGGGAUCCCGAUCUUUUACUUUGAAAAAAUUAGAGUGUUCAAAGCAGGCUUAUGCCUUUGAAUACAUUAGCAUGGAAUAAUAAGAUAGGACUUUGGUUCUAUUUUGUUGGUUUCUAGGACUAAAGUAAUGAUUGAUAGGGAUAGUUGGGGGUGCUAGUAUUCAACGGCCAGAGGUGAAAUUCGGUGAUUCGUUGAAGACUAACUUAUGCGAAAGCAUUCACCAAGGAUGUCUUCUUUAAUCAAGAACGAAAGUUGAGGGAUCGAAGACGAUCAGAUACCGUCGUAGUCUCAACCGUAAACUAUGCCGACUCGGGAUUGGUAGACGUUUUUUUGACUCUAUCAGCACCGUAUGAGAAAUCAAAGUCUUUGGGUUCCGGGGGGAGUCUGGUCGCAAGGCUGAAACUUAAAGGAAUUGACGGAAGGGCACCACCAGGAGUGGAGCCUGCGGCUUAAUUUGACCCAACACGGGAAAACUUACCAGGUCCAGACAUAGUGAGGAUUGACAGAUUGAAGAUCUUUCUUGAUUCUAUGGGUGGUGGUGCAUGGCCGUUCUUAGUUGGUGGAGUGAUUUGUCUGGUUUAUUCCGAAAACGAACGAGACCUCAGCCUACUAAAUAGUUGUAUUAUUUCUCUCCGAAAUGAUGUUCAACUUCUUAGAGGGACUUUUGGUGUUUAGCCAAAGGAAGCUUGAGGCAAUAACAGGUCUGAGAUGCCCUUUGAUGUUCUGGGCUGCACGCGCGCUACACUGGCACGUUCAACGGGCAUACAACCUUGGUCGGGAGGCCUGGGUAAUCUUUGAAAUCGUGCCGUGAUGGGGCUAGAUUAUUGCAAUUAUUAAUCUUAAACGAGGAAUUCCUAGUAAGCGCAAGUCAUCAGCUUGCAUUGAUUACGUCCCUGCCCUUUGUACACACCGCCCGUCGCUCCUACCGAUUGAAUGAUCCGGUGAAAUCUUCGGAUUGAGCAUGUGAAGGCAUUUGCCGAUCACGAGUCUUGAGAAGUUGAUUAAACCUUAUCAUUUAGAGGAAGGAGAAGUCGUAACAAGGU
RNAcentral lists this ribosomal RNA (1309 nucleotides) under metagenome. Its description in RNAcentral is "SSU rRNA". It matches the Rfam family "Eukaryotic small subunit ribosomal RNA", at positions 477 to 1800 of the family's 1831-position model. The record is from RNAcentral.